This 256-nucleotide unclassified non-coding RNA is filed under the name uncultured Erysipelotrichaceae bacterium. RNAcentral describes it as "contains 16S-23S intergenic spacer region". It matches the Rfam family "Bacterial small subunit ribosomal RNA", at positions 524 to 776 of the family's 1533-position model. Lineage: Bacteria; Bacillati; Bacillota; Erysipelotrichia; Erysipelotrichales; Erysipelotrichaceae. The record is from RNAcentral.
GACGUAGGUGGCGAACGUUAUCCGGAAUUAUUGGGCGUAAAGGGUGCGUAGAUGGCUUAGUAAGUUGGCGGUGGGAAAACGAGGCCCAACCUCGUGGAAGCCGGCAAUACUACUAAGCUCGAGUACAGGAGAAGUUAAUGGAACUCCAUGUGGAGCGGUAAAAUGCACAGAUAUAUGGAAGAACACCAAUAAAGGCGAAGGCAAUUAACUAUUCUGUUACUGACAUUGAGGCACGAAAGCGUGGGGAGCAAAACGG